This 26-nucleotide non-coding RNA is filed under the name Mus musculus (house mouse). Lineage: Eukaryota; Metazoa; Chordata; Mammalia; Rodentia; Muridae. The record is from RNAcentral.
UACAAGGCCACACCUUUAAUCCUUCC